Molecule: long non-coding RNA, 785 nt
Organism: Oncorhynchus keta (chum salmon)
Lineage: Eukaryota; Metazoa; Chordata; Actinopteri; Salmoniformes; Salmonidae
Exons: 9
Source: RefSeq, a predicted model, not a curated record
AUACACAGACCCCAUACACCGCCUGCUACGUUAGGUUAGAUAUACACAGACCCCAUACACCGCCUGCUACGUUAGGUUAGAUACACACAGACCCCAUACACCGCCUGCUACGUUAGGUUAGAUAUACACAGACCCCAUACACCACCUGCUACGUUAGGUUAGAUACACACAGACCCCAUACACCGCCUGCUACGUUAGGUUAGAUACACACAGACCCCAUACACCGCCUGCUACGUUAGGUUAGAUACACACAGACCCCAUACACCGCCUGCUACGUUAGGUUAGAUACACACAGACCCCAUACACCGCCUGCUACGUUAGGUUAGAUACACACAGACCCCAUACACCGCCUGCUACGUUAGGUUAGAUACACACAGACCCCAUACACCGCCUGCUACGUUAGGUUAGAUACACACAGACCCCAUACACCGCCUGCUACGUUAGGUUAGAUACACACAGACCCCAUACACCGCCUGCCACGUUAGGUUAGAUACACACAGACCCCAUACACCGCCUGCUACGUUAGGUUAGAUACACACAGACCCCAUACACCGCCUGCCACGUUAGGUUAGAUACACACAGACCCCAUACACCGCCUGCCACGUUAGGUUAGAUACACACAGACACCAUACACCGCCUGCUGCAGUAGUUUUCAUGAAGCAAAUAUUAAACCUAGGUCACCUCACAAACGUGGUAAUUAACUGCAAUGCCCAUAAUUGGCCAUUGGCCUGUUUCUUUUCUCGGCACGGACAGAGAUGGAUACACUUUAACAUCUGCUCCGUUAA